ACUCCUACGGGGAGGCAGCAGUGGGGAAUAUUGCACAAUGGGCGCAAGCCUGAUGCAGCCAUGCCGCGUGUAUGAAGAAGGCCUUCGGGUUGUAAAGUACUUUUCAGCAGUGAGGAAGGUGGGUAUGUUAAUAGCAUAUUCAUUUGACGUUAGCUGCAGAAGAAGCACCGGCUAACUCCGUGCCAGCAGCCGCGGUAAUACGGAGGGUGCGAGCGUUAAUCGGAAUUACUGGGCGUAAAGCGCAUGCAGGUGGUUUGUUAAGUCAGAUGUGAAAGCCCGGGGCUCAACCUCGGAAUUGCAUUUGAAACUGGCAAACUAGAGUACUGUAGAGGGGGGUAGAAUUUCAGGUGUAGCGGUGAAAUGCGUAGAGAUCUGAAGGAAUACCGGUGGCGAAGGCGGCCCCCUGGACAGAUACUGACACUCAGAUGCGAAAGCGUGGGGAGCAAACAGGAUUAGAUACCCUGUAGGCUCUGC
Molecule: ribosomal RNA, 474 nt
Filed under: uncultured bacterium
Lineage: Bacteria
Description: bacterial SSU rRNA
Rfam family: Bacterial small subunit ribosomal RNA
Source: RNAcentral